AAGAUACUAGUAAAAAUGUAAUUACACUGCCUUGUCAAGGCAAAUUUGUGGGUUAAACCCCCGCGUAUCUUA
RNAcentral lists this transfer RNA (72 nucleotides) under Gambusia holbrooki (eastern mosquitofish). RNAcentral describes it as "tRNA-Asp". It matches the Rfam family "tRNA". From Rfam's summary of the family: Transfer RNA (tRNA) molecules are approximately 80 nucleotides in length. Their secondary structure includes four short double-helical elements and three loops (D, anti-codon, and T loops). The record is from RNAcentral. Lineage: Eukaryota; Metazoa; Chordata; Actinopteri; Cyprinodontiformes; Poeciliidae.